ACUUCCGGUCGGUGGGGUAGGCGGAAGGGGUGGGACCGCGUUGGCCAAAGGCUUUUCCCUGGGACCUGGUGAAGAAUUGCCUUGUGACUUACUUUGACCAACAAAUAUGUCAGAAGUGACGAUGUGUGACUUAUGGAACCUUGACUUCCAGAGACCUUGCACUUUCACUCUCUUGGGACCUGCCUUUCCCAGGUAAGAAACCUAGACUACUCUGCUGGAGAGCCACAUGGAGGAGAACCGAGGCACUCUAGCUGACACGUAGGCCAUCUUGGGUCAUCCUCAUCCAGGUGACUGCAGCCACAUGAGCACAGGUGAGACCACAGAAAAACUGCCCAGCUGAGCCCAGUUAAAAUUGCAGAGUUGUGAGUAAAUAAAUGGUUAUUGUUUUAA
Molecule: long non-coding RNA, 390 nt
Organism: Pteropus alecto (black flying fox)
Lineage: Eukaryota; Metazoa; Chordata; Mammalia; Chiroptera; Pteropodidae
Exons: 2
Source: RefSeq, a predicted model, not a curated record